This 381-nucleotide ribosomal RNA is filed under the name uncultured bacterium. Its description in RNAcentral is "bacterial SSU rRNA". It matches the Rfam family "Bacterial small subunit ribosomal RNA", at positions 28 to 412 of the family's 1533-position model. The record is from RNAcentral.
GACGAACGCUGGCGGCGUGCUUAACACAUGCAAGUCGAGCGGUAAGGCCCUUUUGGGGGUACACGAGCGGCGAACGGGUGAGUAACACGUGGGUGACCUGCCCUCAGCUCUGGGAUAAGCCUGGGAAACUGGGUCUAAUACUGGAUAUGACCUUUCCUCGCAUGGGGUUGGGUGGAAAGUUUUUCGGCUGGGGAUGGGCCCGCGGCCUAUCAGCUUGUUGGUGGGGUGAUGGCCUACCAAGGCGACGACGGGUAGCCGGCCUGAGAGGGCGACCGGCCACACUGGGACUGAGACACGGCCCAGACUCCUACGGGAGGCAGCAGUGGGGAAUAUUGCGCAAUGGGCGGAAGCCUGACGCAGCGACGCCGCGUGGGGGAUGAC